AGUGAACGCUGGCGGUAGGCCUAACACAUGCAAGUCGAACGGCAGCACAGUAAGAGCUUGCUCUUACGGGUGGCGAGUGGCGGACGGGUGAGGAAUACAUCGGAAUCUACUUUUUCGUGGGGGAUAACGUAGGGAAACUUACGCUAAUACCGCAUACGACCUACGGGUGAAAGCAGGGGAUCUUCGGACCUUGCGCGAUUGAAUGAGCCGAUGUCGGAUUGGCUAGUUGGCGGGGUAAAGGCCCACCAAGGCGACGAUCCGUAGCUGGUCUGGGAGGAGGGUCAGCCACACUGGAACUGAGACACGGUCCAUGGGCCUACGGGAGGGAGCAGAGGGGAAUAUUGGACAGUGGUCGCAAGCCUGAUCCAGCCAUACCGCGUGUGUGAAGAAGGCCUUCGGGUUGUAAAGCCCUUUUGUUGGGAAAGAAAAGCAGCAGGUUAAUACCCCGCUGUUCUGACGGUACCCAAAGAAGAAGCACCGGCUAACUUCGUG
Molecule: ribosomal RNA, 492 nt
Filed under: uncultured bacterium
Lineage: Bacteria
Description: partial 16S ribosomal RNA
Rfam family: Bacterial small subunit ribosomal RNA
Source: RNAcentral